Hibiscus syriacus is the source of this 188-nucleotide long non-coding RNA. RefSeq lists it as uncharacterized. The record is from RefSeq and is a predicted model, not a curated record. NCBI's taxonomy places the organism in Eukaryota, Viridiplantae, Streptophyta, Magnoliopsida, Malvales, Malvaceae. The transcript has 3 exons.
CUCUUCUCAUCGGUUUUUGAAACUGUACAACAGACACAUGAUGUUCCAUUUGGCACCUACUUUGAAGUUCAUUGUCAAUGGAUUGCAGAGACCAAUGGUGAAAACUCAUCUACUUUAGAUAUCAAAGCAGGUGCACAUAUUAAGAAAUGGUGUGUGAUGUAAUCGAAAAUAAAGUCAGACGCUGUUGA